UUGGUAAAACAGGUAAUUAUGGCACGCA
This 28-nucleotide non-coding RNA is filed under the name Rattus norvegicus (Norway rat). The record is from RNAcentral. Lineage: Eukaryota; Metazoa; Chordata; Mammalia; Rodentia; Muridae.